RNAcentral lists this ribosomal RNA (916 nucleotides) under uncultured marine archaeon. Its description in RNAcentral is "bacterial SSU rRNA". It matches the Rfam family "Archaeal small subunit ribosomal RNA", at positions 1 to 921 of the family's 1478-position model. The record is from RNAcentral.
UUCCGGUUGAUCCUGCCGAAGGCUACUGCUAUUGGAGUUCGAUUAAGCCAUGCGAGUCUAAGGGAUCUUCGGAUCCCUGGCGUAAUGCUCAGUAACACGUGGAUAAUCUACCCUCAGGUGGGGCAUAAACCCGGGAAACUGGGGCCAAUUCCCCAUAGAUACAGAUGGCUGGAAUGCUUCUGUAUUCAAAGCUCCGGCGCCUGAGGAUGGGUCUGCGGCCUAUCAGGUUGUAGUCAGGGUCAAGACCUGACUAGCCAGCGACGGGUAUGGGGUGUGAGAGCACUUGCCCAGAGAUGGUUUCUGAGACACGAAACCAGGCCCUACGGGGCGCAGCAGGCGCGAAAACUUCGCAAUGCGGGAAACCGUGACGAGGGAACUCCAAGUGUCUAUGCAUUGCAUAGACUGUUUUUUAGCCUAAAUAGCUAUUAGAGUAAGGGGUGGGCAAGACCGGUGCCAGCCGCCGCGGUAACACCGGCACCUCGAGUGGUAGCCACUAUUAUUGGGCCUAAAGCGUUCGUAGCCGGUUUGGUAAAUUCUUGGGUAAAUCGUACCGCUUAACGGUGCGGAUUCCGGGGACACUACCAGACUUGAGACCGGGGGAGAUCAGAGGUACUUGCGGGGGAGCGGUGAAAUGUUGUAAUCCCGCAGGGACCACCAGUGGCGAAGGCGUCUGAUCAGAACGGCUCUGACGGUGAGGAACGAAACCCUGGGGCGCAAACGGGAUUAGAUACCCCGGUAGUCCAGGGCGUAAACGCUGCUGACUUGGUGUUGGAGAUCCUACGAGGAUGUCCAGUGCUGGCGCGAAGGUAUUAAGUCAGCCGCCUGGGGAGUACGGUCGCAAGACUGAAACUUAAAGGAAUUGGCGGGGGAGCACUGCAACGUGUGGAGCGUGCGGUUUAAUUGGAGUCAACGCCGG